Nycticebus coucang (slow loris) is the source of this 953-nucleotide long non-coding RNA. RefSeq lists it as uncharacterized. Lineage: Eukaryota; Metazoa; Chordata; Mammalia; Primates; Lorisidae. The transcript has 5 exons. The record is from RefSeq and is a predicted model, not a curated record.
CUAGGACCGGAUUCGGAGUUAGAGCUGGAGCUGGAUCUGGCGGCGGAGCCUGUGAAGCUGCGCUCAGGGUGGACUUCUCGCCACGGGCUGUUCCAGUGUCCUCCCAGUAUGGCUCUGCCCAGAACAAGAGAGUGCAUACCACCCACAAGUUACGCUGACUAUUCCUAUCAUACUUUGUGAGAAGUUCCAGUCGUCUGACGAAAUUCUCCAUCUCUUCAUUUUCUUUCUGAAUGUAUCAAUCACAUCUUAUGGGCUGCUGUGACAAAGUUCCAAGGCUGGGCAGCUCAACAACAUGCCUGUGCUCUCCCCUGACUUUGGAGCCAUGAGUCCAGGGGCCAGUAGCUGUGUUCCUCUUGAGACCUCUGUCCUUGGCUGCAGGAUGCUCCAGGAUGAAUGCGUGUGAGCCCAGGCAAAUCUCCCGAGUUGCUGCCAGCUGCUCUGGGUCCCCAGGAGCGGGACGAAAAGGAGCCUCACCUGCACCAAGAGGAGCCCCAAGGGGCCAGCGUCAGGGAAACACAGAGGCAAGGAUGUUGUCAUGACCCUGGGUCUAUGCUGAGUCUGCAGCCAUCUGUGUUCCGGGCCUGGGUGGAAUGUGCAUCCUAGUGUAACUUGCCAUCCCUCACCAUGGUGGCAGAGCACAAAUGGCUUUGCUCUUUGGGAAUCUCCUGCUCUAACCAUUUCCCUGGGAUCUGUUAAUGGUCUCACAGAUUUGUGCACUUCUCUUUGACAUUAAGAAUGUUACCCUGGUGGACAGCAUUCUUACCAAGAUUGUCCUCACCUUGUUCUUCGGCUUUUCUAGGACUAGGGAGCCUGACGCUGCAGCCAGCAGCCUGCUGGUCCCAAUGGGCUUUGAUGGCAGAAUCAAGUAUCAUUUCCCUACACAGUUAACACAUGUUCAUUAAGGAAAAAACAUGAGAGAAAGAGAAGCGAAAAGGAAGAGCUAAAUCAACUGA